Molecule: ribosomal RNA, 854 nt
Filed under: Stenomelania aspirans
Lineage: Eukaryota; Metazoa; Mollusca; Gastropoda; Thiaridae
Description: partial large subunit ribosomal RNA
Rfam family: Bacterial large subunit ribosomal RNA
Source: RNAcentral
UACACAAUGAAUAUAAAAUUAAAAACGAUUAAAGGAAUGUACGUUCGUUAUUAAUUUGAAUUCUAUUGGACUCUUUUGAGGAUAAGCUCGAAAGUUGUUGUUGAGGGCUAUAUGAUUUAAAAUUGCUGUGUGGGCCUAAAAUUAGCCAUCACAAGAGUUUGUUAUAAAAUAAUAAAAAGACGUAAAAACAUCAUUAUAUAAAGCACCACAUAAAACUAUAAGGAUAAUAAUCUGAACUAAAAGAUUUAAUACACCUAUGCUAGGAUGAGUAUUAUAGACCGCCUGAAUCGAACAAAUAAUAUUUCCAGAAAAAAGAUCUUUUAUGUGAAUUAAAGAGAAGGAAUUCGGCAAAUAUUGUUUCGCCUGUUUAUCAAAAACAUGGCUCUUUGAAAGUAAACAUAUAAAGAGUCGAACCUGCCCAGUGAGUAAUUUUAACGGCCGCGGUACCCUGACCGUGCAAAGGUAGCAUAAUCAUUUGCCUUAUAAUUGAAGGCUGGCAUGAAUGGUCUGACGAGAGCAAUACUGUCUCCUCUUUAUUAUCUAAAAAUUAACCUAUAGGUGAAGAGGCCUAUAUAAAAUUGAAGGACAAGAAGACCCUGUCGAGCUUAAAAGAAAAGUAGAGGUUAGUUAUCAAAAGAGAUCAAUAAACUAUACAUAGCUUUUUAGUUGGGGCGACUAAGGAACAAAUAAAGCUUCUUUUAUUUUUAUAGAUUUAUGGAUUCGGAUCCAGCAAAGCUGAUCAGAAAAAUUAGUUACCGCAGGGAUAACAGCAUAAUCUCCUUUGAGAGACCUAAUCGAAAAGGGGGGUUGUGACCUCGAUGUUGGACUAGAAUAUCCUGAAGAUGCAGACGUCU